RNAcentral lists this transfer RNA (70 nucleotides) under Lucerapex sp. MNHN IM 2013-19988. RNAcentral's name for it is "tRNA-Ile". Lineage: Eukaryota; Metazoa; Mollusca; Gastropoda; Neogastropoda; Turridae. The record is from RNAcentral.
AGUACUGCGCCGGAUGAACGGGAAUCAUUGAUGUUGGUUAUUAUGAGAUACUUAUUCAUCUCCAGUACUA